AGAGUUUGAUCCUGGCUCAGAACGAACGCUGGCGGCGUGCUUAACACAUGCAAGUCGAACGUGAUCCGGAGCUUGCUCCGGUGAAAGUGGCGCACGGGUGAGUAACGCGUGGAUAAUCUGCCCUGGUAUCUGGGAUAACAUCUCGAAAGGGGUGCUAAUACCGGAUAAGCCUACGGACUCUUCGGAGUCUGCAGGAAAAGGUGGCCUCUAUUUAUAAGCUACCGUAUCAGGAUGAGUCCGCGUACCAUUAGCUAGUUGGUGGGGUAAUGGCCCMCCAAGGCUACGAUGGUUAGCUGGUCUGAGAGGAUGAUCAGCCACACUGGAACUGAGACACGGUCCAGACUCCUACGGGAGGCAGCAGUGGGGAAUUUUGCGCAAUGGGGGAAACCCUGACGCAGCAACGCCGCGUGAGUGAUGAAGGCUUUCGGGUCGUAAAGCUCUGUCAGAGGGGAAGAAAUGAGUCUGGCUAAUAUCCAGAUUUCUUGACGGUACCCUCAAAGGAAGCACCGGCUAACUCCGUGCCAGCAGCCGCGGUAAUAC
Molecule: ribosomal RNA, 540 nt
Filed under: uncultured Geobacter sp.
Lineage: Bacteria; Pseudomonadati; Thermodesulfobacteriota; Desulfuromonadia; Geobacterales; Geobacteraceae
Also listed under: 1 other name
Description: bacterial SSU rRNA
Rfam family: Bacterial small subunit ribosomal RNA
Source: RNAcentral